This 232-nucleotide long non-coding RNA is filed under the name Vitis vinifera (wine grape). Its description in RNAcentral is "long non-coding RNA (VVIN_LNC006180)". The record is from RNAcentral. Lineage: Eukaryota; Viridiplantae; Streptophyta; Magnoliopsida; Vitales; Vitaceae.
CCAGAUUCAACAGAUAAAACCCCCUCAACAAUCAAUGCAACAUCUAAUAAUUUUGUAAGUAGAAAAAAUUAUUAUUCAAAACUCUCUUUUCCUGAUGUUCAAUUGGAAGAAAGAAAUUAUCAAUUAGCUGCUAGUUAUGAUGGUAGUAAUUUUUAUGAAUGAAAUAUAGAUGGAAUGAGUGAACAUCAAAUAAUUAAUUUACUUCAUGAAAUGAUGAUGACUGUUAAUGCUU